GCCGGGCCUGCGCUGGAGUUCCGUGGCUCCCGGAGGGAGAGGAGGGAGGCCCUGGCCCUCGCCGGCUGCGCGUUAGGAGCUUCUCUUUACUGCAGCAUAACUGUGAGAUUUGGGUAUCUCUGUGUGCGUUCAGUGUACAACGAGCUGCAGCGACACUUUAAAGUGCUGGCGUGAGAAAGGAACUGGUUGAUAACCUCCCCCCGCCAGCUCGCCGGGCUGCCCCUCAUCUGACUUUUGAUCCAGACUCUUCACCAGAUCUGUUGCUCUUCUCUGACUUCAGCACCUCAGUGUAUUGUAAAUAGAGGCCCUGAACUGACCCCAGGAUUGGAGGUGUGGUCUCACCAAUGCCGGAGCAAUGGUUACUCCAUACCCACACACAUAAGACCCAUCACUUUCACUAUCACCACCUUCCUGUAAAAUCUCAAAGCCCUCCAUAUUUCAUGAAGUCUCAAAGCUAUUAAGUUCUUAUGUUCUUUCAAGUGUAUGUGGUGGGGCAGCAGACAGAGAACCUUGUGCAUCCACAGAGCUCUGGUCAUUACAGGCAUCCAGACAUCACUAGGCACUGGAGGAUACACACAGGAGAAACAGUAUGGAUGUCCCAAGUGUGGAAAAAACAUUUCAAUCUUUUUCCUGGACAAGAAAGAGGUAGAAGGACAAAACAGCCAAAAAAAAAACCCCAAAAUUGCAUAGUGGAAGCAUCAGAUUCCUUCAAUCCCUUCUUCCCAAAAGAAUGUAGGUGGGAGUGUGCUGCUGCUGCUGCAAGAAAACUUAGGUGACCUGCCUGUGGAGACUGCUUUUAGUGGAAGUUUUGAGAGUUGAUUUCUCAAGCAGUUCCCACUUUGUCCGGAAUAUUGUUUUUUGAGAAAUAUGUGUAACCUUUGUAGUCUAAAUGUUUGUGUUUUGGUUGGGUUUUUUUUAAUCAAACUCAGAAUAAAUUCUCUUUGAUGCCAGGGAUGAGCUGCUUAGCUGCCUGUUGUACAUAGUGAGCCAUCAAAAAGCUUUGCUUAAAGUCUGUUAUGUGACAGUCACUACACAAAGCAGAAGAGAAUGCUUGAUUUGGUUUUUAACCUUCUGGGAGAAGACCAUGUUUCUCUCAGCAUCCAGAUUUUAUCUGUGUGUCCUAAAAAUGUAGGCUGUUGGAUCACCCUGGCAAAGAGACUGCUCUGCACACACAUGAUUUGCCCCAGGGAGUUGUGGUAAUUGUUUUUUAACUCCCUAUGUGGAAAAAACCAGUUUUCUUCACCUGCUCAACUCCUUUGCCUAUAAAGAAGACUGUUUUUUCAAUGUUUUUCUCUGUAUUUUGACAGUAGCUUCUAUGAACUGGUCACUAGAGUGUAUCUUGUGUGGAAGUUGGCCAGAGACUUAAGUUAUUUUACUCAACAACUGGCAGUAAUACUCUGUGCAGAAAAGUUAGGUCUCAUUUGUGUCUUACUAUGCAUGAGAGGCUUCAGUUCAGCUCUUGCUCAGUGACUUGAAGAGGUCCCAAAUAACCACACACUUACUGCCCUACAAAAGAGAGUACAUAGCGGUUUUCAGCAUUCUGAGAGGAUUUGGACAACAACCAGAAAACAGAGAAAAAAGGCCUGCCUUUUGCAAUAAAGCAAGAAUUGGAGUGUUU
This is a non-coding RNA of Cyanistes caeruleus (blue tit), 1618 nucleotides long. Lineage: Eukaryota; Metazoa; Chordata; Aves; Passeriformes; Paridae. The record is from RefSeq and is a predicted model, not a curated record.